AUUUAAGUAGUUUAAAAAAAAUAUUGAUUUGUGGUGUCAAAGAUGUCCUAACCCUUAARUA
RNAcentral lists this transfer RNA (61 nucleotides) under Ptinus rufipes. Its description in RNAcentral is "tRNA-His". The record is from RNAcentral. Lineage: Eukaryota; Metazoa; Arthropoda; Insecta; Coleoptera; Ptinidae.